AACGAACGCUGGCGGCGUGCCUAACACAUGCAAGUCGCACGAGAAAGUUCUUCGGAACGAGUAAAGUGGCGCACGGGUGAGUAAUCCAUAGGAACGUGUCUUUAGGAGGGGAAUAACAACGGGAAACCGUUGCUAAUACCGCAUAAUCAGGUAACUGCAAAGACGGCCUCUAUUUAUAAGCUGUCACCUAAAGAGCGGCCUAUGUCCCAUUAGCUAGUUGGUGGGGUAAAAGCCUACCAAGGCAACGAUGGGUAGCUGGUCUGAGAGGACGAUCAGCCACACUGGAACUGAGACACGGUCCAGACUCCUACGGGAGGCAGCAGUGGGGAAUAUUGCACAAUGGGCGCAAGCCUGAUGCAGCAACGCCGCGUGAGUGAAGAAGGCC
This 385-nucleotide ribosomal RNA is filed under the name uncultured bacterium. RNAcentral's name for it is "bacterial SSU rRNA". It matches the Rfam family "Bacterial small subunit ribosomal RNA", at positions 29 to 416 of the family's 1533-position model. The record is from RNAcentral.